GAGGCCCAGGUAGAGGAAGAGAAGGAGGAAGAGGUAGAGAAGGACCUGAAGAGUUGAUAGGACCUGAACAAAGAAAACACUUAUUGACCAUGUUAUCAACCAUGGACUGAAACUGAUGGAAGCUGGACAAAGUGUUCAACCAAAUCUCAGCAGAAAUACUGUUGCGUCAGUAAUUCGGACAUUUCCUCGAGAAAAAAGGAUUGAGGGUCGAGGACACCAAGGUGGAAGGGGCCCCAUGUUCACUCGUGCACAAGAGGACGUCAUUGUGAACAUGGUUUUGACCAAUAAUUGUAUCAGGCUGCGAGAAAUCCAAGCCAAUAUUAUCAAUGAUGACCAUAUUUGCAAUAACAUCCAACGAGUCUCUCUGUCAACAUUAGGUCGAAUCCUCAAGAAAAAUCAAAUAUACAUGAAGCAACUGUAUCGGGUACCAUUUGACAGAAAUUCACAGAGUGAAACAUCUGCGCAAUGAGUAUGUGGAGAGAGUCCAGCAUAAAUUCAACAUGAAUUUAUAUAUGUGGAUGAGGCUGGAUUUAACCUUGCGAAAACAAGAAGAGGGAGAAAUGUAAUUGGACACAGGGCAAUCACCAAUGUGCCAGGGCAGCGAGGGGGUAACAUCACCCUUUACACUGCUAUUACACAAAAUGGGGUCCUCCACCACUAUGCAAAUGUGGGACCCUAUAAUGCAAAUCUAAUACUUGCAUUUCUUGACAGAUUGCACAAGAUUGUCACAGCAUUAAACCAAGUGGACCAGAUGCGGUACAUUGUCGUUUGGGACAAUGUCUCAUUCCACCGGGCUGCUCUGGUCCAGAAUUGGUUCCAUGAGCACCCUGAAUUUGAAGUCUUAUACCUUCCCCCUUCCUCAAUCCAAUAGUUUUUUUUUUCAGCAUGGCGGUGGAAGGUAUACGAUCUGCGGCCCUAUGACCGUUUGCCCCUCAUUCAGGCCACGGAGCAGGCCUGUGAUCAUAUCGAAGCAGCUUCUGUGCAGGCGUGGGUUCGUCACACGAGGCGACUCUUCCAACGGUACCUUGCCAAUGAAGACAAUCUGUGAUGUGGAUGAAAUCUUAUGGACUGAUCCAGACAGGGAUGAUGAAUAGUUAGUUUUCUUGUUGCUUUUACAGUCAAAGUGCAUGUACUUCAUGCAGUAAUUUUUAUUUGUCAACAGAUUUUAUUUGUUUCAUUGUUGGAUUACUGUAACUGAUUAUGGUAAGAAAUACUGUAAGUAUUGAAAUAAAUACUUGGAAUAUUCAGUCUGCAGCAUCAGUGUUGUGCAGUGCUUGGUAAGUUUAUAGUAGGCCUCUGUGUACAUUCUCCCUAUAUCUCAAACUAAUCAUGAAGAAUGUUGUGGGUUUGUCACUUUUUUUCAUCUAAAUUAGCCCUUGCAUAACAAUGUCUGGCCAAAAAUCUAGCACAUGCCAUUUCCUAGAAUUAGUUCUUUUUUUUUACAAGUGUGUUUUUAUUUAUCACAGCAGUGUGAAACUGGCUGCAAUGGUGUCUGAUCAUUGAGAACUGUGUUGGUUAAAUGAAAACAAUUGCAUUUUCA
Long non-coding RNA from Micropterus salmoides (largemouth bass), 1540 nucleotides. RefSeq lists it as uncharacterized. Lineage: Eukaryota; Metazoa; Chordata; Actinopteri; Centrarchiformes; Centrarchidae. The transcript is spliced from 3 exons. The record is from RefSeq and is a predicted model, not a curated record.